CCUAAUGGGAAAUUUAAGAGCAUAUGGUGGAUGCCUUGACUCUAAGAGGCGAUGAAGGACGUAGCGUAGCUGCGAUAAGCUUCGGGGAGGUGCCUAGCAACCUUUGAUCCGGAGAUCUCCGAAUGGGGAAACCUAUUCCGAUGCAAAUCGGAAUCUUCUGACGCAAGUCAGAGAGCGUACCCAGGGAAGUAAAACAUUUCAGUACCUGGUGGAAAAUAAAACAAUGUCGCGUAAGCGACGACAUUUCCUUAGUAGUGGCGAGCGAAAAGGAAAUAGCCCAGAUCGGUCGCGCCUCGUUGGAUUCGUCACGACAGCUUUUAGUUUUUAGCUAUCAGCUUUUAGCUUUCAAAUUCAGGAAGCUAACAGUCAGAAGCUUACAGCUAUUAGUCUGCAGUGCCGAGGACAGCGAGGCGCGACUGAAGUAGUAAGGCGGCAACUUCAUUAUUUAUAAUGAGAAAAGUUACAAAAUAUUUCGUUAGCAGAAUUUGCUGGGAAGCAAAGCCCUAGAGGGUAAUAGCCCCGUAAGUGAAAAUGAAAUAUCUUUUCCGUUGCCGUUCUUGAGUACCUCAAGACACGAAUGGCUUGGGGGAAUCUGCCGGAACUAACCGGUAAGGCUAAAUACUCUUAGAGAUCGAUAGUGAACAAGUACCGUGAGGGAAAGGUGAAAAGCAGCCCGGUAAGGGCGGUGAAAUAGACCUGAAACCAUAUGCUUACAAGGAGUCGGAGUCCCUCACCAAUUUUGUGUUGUAGAAUUUUUCUAGAACCCAAAAUUGGUGAGUGGAUCACGGCGUGCCUAUUGAAGAAUGAGCCAACGAGUUGAUGUAAGCUGCUUAGCUAAGCCCCCAAAGGGUGGAGCUGUAGGGAAACCGAGUGUGAAUAGCGCGUUUGUAGUAUACAUCAGACCCGAAGCCAAGUGAGCUUGCCAUGAGCAGGGUGAAUCCCGACGAAAGUCGGGAGGAGGCCCGAACCGGUUAGCCGUGCAAUACUAUCGGAUGACUUGUGGUAAGAAGUGAAAAGCUAAUCGAACUUGGUAAUAGCUGGUUCUCUCCGAAAUAGCUUUUGGGCUAGCGUCUGGAUUACCUUUUGGGGGUAGAGCACUGGAUGGUCUAAACAGGGAGAAAUCUCAUUAGACCAAUCAAACUCCGAAUACCAGAAGUAAACUUCCAGGCAGUUAGACCGUGGGGGCUAAGCUCCAUUGGUCAAAAGGGAAACAGCCCGGAUCUCAACUUAAGGUCCCUAAAUCUACGCUAAGUACGCUUGAGGUGGUGGAAUUUCACAGACAGUGAGGAUGUUGGCUUAGAAGCAGCCAUCAUUUAAAGAUAGCGUAACAGCUCACUCACUAAGAGAUUCUGCGCCGCAGAUAAUCGGGGUUAAGCAUAGUACCGAAAUUGAGGAUGUCAUUUUGCUUCGGCAGAAUGGCGUGGUAGGAGAGUAUUCUCAUCGCGAUGAAGCCAAAGGCGCGAGCCAUGGUGGAGCGUUGAGAAGUAAGAAUGUUGGCACAAGUAACCACAAUGCGGGUGAGAACCCCGCACGCCGAAAGACCAAGGUUUCCUUGGCGAUGUCAAUCAGCCAAGGGUUAGUCGGGCCUAAGGGGAUGGCGAAAGCCGCACCCGAUGGACACAUGGUUAAUAUUCCAUGACUUUUAUGUGUUGUGACGGGAGGACGGAGUCUAGUAUGUUUUGCGCAUUAUUGGAUUUGCGUUCGUGUCGCAAGAAGGGCUUCCAGGAAAAUCCGGAAGCGAGCCGUAAGAAGGCACCCUCCAAGCGAAGCGAAAAUUUGCCGGUUCGCCGGUGAAAAUAAAACAAAGCAGACUCUCAAGAAAAUUCUCUAAACUUAAAUACAUAAAAUCCGUACCGCAAACCGACACAGGUGGUCAGCUCGAGUAGAGCAAGGCGAACGAGUGAGAGGUCCCCAAGGAACUCGGCAAAAAAGCAGCCGUAACUUCGGAAUAAGGCUUCCCCUCACCAAUUUUGGGCUAUAAUUGCAAAAUGUAUUAUGUGUAUCUGAUUCAGCAUGACCUUUCGAGAGAAAUCUAUAUCGGUUUAACAACUGAUCCGAAAGAGCGAUUGCGAACGCACAAUGGCAAAGGUAAAAAAUUUACUACCAGAAAAUCUGGCAUGUGGCAUUUUAUUUACCUUGAGCUCUUUCGUUCACAGCAAGACGCUAUCGAUCGCGAGAAAAAACUGAAAGGUCACGCAAAAGGAAAACACGAACUUCUCAAGCGACUAAAAUAUAGUUUGCUUGAGCCCAAAAUUGGUGAGGGGCGCAGCUAAAGUAUCUCUGGCAACUGUUUAUCAAAAACACAGCUCCCUGCGAACUCGCAAGAGGAUGUAUAGGGGGUGACACUUGACCAAUGCCAGAAGGUCAAACAACGACGGUGCCAAGCACCACUUUUGACGGAAUAUCAAUGUGAUUAUUUUAAAGUUUAUUUGGAAAAUAUUUUAAAGUUAUUACAAAAAGUAUUAUUUCAAAAGUGGUGCUCGGUGCUGAUUGUUGUAAGCCCUGGUGAAUGUCGGCCGUAACUAUAGAUUUGACCGUUGUAGUUACGCUAAAAAAUCUUGCUAUAUGCUGGAAACUCUGGUCCAUCAUUUAUUUAAAAAUAAGUGAUGGAAAAAAGUGUUCAUUAUUACUCGCUUUCAUCGAAAAGCAGUGACAAUAUAAUGACGCAGACAAUCAGCAGGAAAGACUUCUUUUGUAAUCAAAAGUAAAUAUGAAUUGGUUAAGCCAAAUCAAACCGGAUAUGGGAAACUAUAUCGCGGGAUUCACUGACGGCGAAGGAAGCUUCAAUGUUUCAGUGAAAAAGAGAAUUGAUUACAGAGAUCAAUGGAAAUUGACCGCUUCGUUCAAUAUUUCUCAAAAAGAUCGCGUCAUUCUGGCUCUUAUUAAAAAAGAGAUUGGAUGUGGGACUUUGCGAGAAAGAAAAGACGGGGUUGUUUAUUAUGAAGUGACCAAUAUCACUUCUCUGAAAGAAAGAAUAAUCCCGUUUUUUAAACGGUUCGGAUUUCUUUCAGCGCGAAAAAAGACAAAUUUUUCUAUUUUCUCUUCUAUUGUUGAGAAAAUGGCAGACGGAGAACAUCUGACAGAAGAAGGUUUUCAGAAAAUUCUUGAACUAAGAGAAAUUCUUAAUGAGGGAAAAGGAAGAAAACGAAAAUAUAAUUUAUCAGAUUGCGUAUCAAAAGAAGAAUCCUCAGAGACUAUACGCAAGACGGUUUCAAAUUAAUUGAAUGUCGACGAUUUGAAGACGAUGAUAUAGUCCGAUCUCUCUAGCGAUAGAGAGUUAACAAAUAGUUAAAAUUGAUAAACAGAGACUGCUAAGUUGAAGCAUUGUUUGGUGCUAAGCUACAAAAUAUAAACGGUCCUAAGGUAGCGAAAUUCCUUGUCAGGUAAGUUCUGACGCGCACGAAUAGUGUAAUGACUGGAGAACUGUCUCGGGGGCUUGCUCGGUGAAAAUACAAUACCGGUGAAGAUGCCGGUUACCUGCAGCUAGACGAAAAGACCCUAGGAGCUUUACUGCAAUUUUAUAUUGAGUGUAUGUUUCAACUGCGUAGCGUAGACGGGAGACUUUGAAGUUUCGUUCUCGGACGAAAUGGAGUCGCCGAUGAAACACCGUUCUUUUGUGAUAUGCAUUCUAAUCCGCGCGGCAAAAACGCGCGGCGACAGUAUAUGAUGGGCAGUUUUAGUGGGGCGCUAUCCUCCUAAAAAGUAACGGAGGAGCCUAUUAAGGUUGGCUAAGCGCGAAUGGAAACCGUGCUGAUAGUGUAAUGGCACAAGCCAGCUUGACUGCAAGGCGUACUUGCCGAGCAGGCGCGAAAGCGGAGCAUAGUGAACCGACGGCCCGCAUUAGACGCGGCCAAAGAUUAUCGGACAAAAGCUACCCUAGGGAUAACAGGCUGGUAGUGCCUAAGCGUCCAUAGCGACGGCACUGUUCGGCACCUCGAUGUCGGCUCAACUUAUCCUGGGGGUGGAGAAGCUCCCAAGGGUUUGGCUGUUCGCCAAUUAAAAAGUUACGCGAGCUGGGUUCAGACCGUUUAGAAGAAAACUCGAAAUUCGAAUAUCGAAAUUCGAAACAAUAUUUAAAUUUCAAAUUAUAAAUUCAAAACGAAAAUUCUCGUUUAGGAUUUUGAGUUUUGAAUAUUUGAAUUUGUUUCGUGCUUCGGAUUUAUUAUUUCGUGCUUGUCUUUUAGGCAAUCUGAAUCCUAGAGGAAUUUUCGUCUAUGAAAAAGUCUAGAUUUUUAUUCAUAAAAAUCUAGUGUCCGACAGAAAUGUCGGAAAAUAGAAAACCAAUCAAAUCACGGCGGUCUAUUGUAGAAAUGCAAUGUGAUCAAACUGACUAAUAUCGGUGGAAUCCAAUUUGGAUAAUACCGAGGGAAGUUUACUUCAGAUUUAUUUGUGAUACAAUUUUUGCAUGAAUAUGGAAUCUGUACCACAAGAGAGUUCCGACUGGAAUUCUUUGCAAGAAGAUUGGGAUAGAGCAUACAAGGCUCUUCCUGAUAAUAAAAUAACUGAAGAAGUUAUAAGAAUUACUCAAGAAGCUGAAGAAAGAAAGGGGAUACAAAAUAUAGAAAAAUAUCUUAAAGAUAAUUUUGAAAAAUUAUCUCAAGAACACAAAGAUUUUCUCCUUAUGAUCCUUAGAGUAAAAAACUAUAAACUGCAAUCUAAAUAAACACCCGUAGAGACUAAAUGUUAGUUAUUUGCGAAAGCAGAAAAAGUUAUAGUCCGAUGCGUUUAGUAAUAGACGAUAUCAUGCGUGAGACAGGUUGGUCUCCUAUCUGCUGCAGGCGUUGAUUCUUGAGAAGAUUUGUUCCUAGUAAGUAAUUGCUACUUUCAUGAGUAAUCAUGAUUGAAAAUUCUGCUCAUAACGGUGAAGCCUUCAUAUGAUUUCGGUCUUAGAAUUUUAACACUUGAGGUCCUUGUGUUAUAAUUUGCUUGAGGACCAGAAUCCUCUUUAAGGUAAUACCGUGGGAAGUCGAUCUAAAAUCGCAAAAGAAAUUGAUAUAGCAUACAUUGCGGGUUUUCUUGAUGGUGAUGGAAGCUUAAUGCUUCAAAUCAAGAAACGGAAAGACGGCAAUAUCGGAAUCCGAUUUAUGCCGACAAUUUGUUUCUAUCAGGAUACUCGCCAUGAGAAAACUUUGUACUGGAUACAAGAAGUUUUAGGCAUUGGAUAUCUUUCCAAACGGAAUGAUGGAAUGACUGAACUUCGGAUAAAUGGCUACAAGCAAGUGAGAGAUAUUCUCAAUAUCUUGUUGCCUUAUAUCCGAUUUAAAAAACUUCAAGGCGAUGCGUUAAAAAACGCAUGCGAAAUCCUUUCCGAUACAAAAUUUAAGAUGUUAAGCAAAGAGAAGUUAAAAGAACUCGUUAAUUAUAUUUUGGUAAUACAGGGUGAAAACUAUGUAACCAAGAAAAAGAAAACACGAGAAGAAUUUCUUGCGAUGUUAGGUUUGACCCCGUAACGACUUAUGUUGAAAGAUACAUAGACUUAUGCGUUGAGGAAUCCAUAUCCUUAGUUUACAAAAAACUAAGAUGGACAGCUCGCAUGGGUAAAAUGCAGAACUCCUGAUAAUUUAGAUUAUCAGGAAUAAGGUAUAGUCUACACUCCUAGAAAUAGGGGAUAAAUUCCAGUUUCGCUUUUCGCGAGAUUGAGAAAUGUGACGAGAGGACCGGAAUGAACUAACCUCUGGUCUAUCUGCUGUCCCGCCAGGGGCAACGCAGAGUAGCUAUGUUGGGAAUGGAUAACCUCUGAAAGCAUCUAAGAGGGAAGCCAACUUCAAGAUUAGGAAUCGUUUGAGACCCCUAAGAGAUUAUUAGGUUGAUAGGCUCUAGGUGUACGCGCAGCAAUGCGUUUAGCCGAGGAGUACUAAUCCGUCGAUUCUUAUUAGGAA
RNAcentral lists this ribosomal RNA (5879 nucleotides) under Patescibacteria group bacterium. RNAcentral describes it as "23S ribosomal RNA". The stretch from base 4 to 4115 matches the Rfam family "Bacterial large subunit ribosomal RNA". The record is from RNAcentral.